GCCGGUGCCUAUUGCGAUGAGGUCCCACCUGUUCCCAUACCGAACACAGUAGUUAAGCUCAUCUGUGCCGAAAAUACUUGGUGGGUGACUGCCUGGGAAGAUAGGUCGGUGCCGGCU
RNAcentral lists this ribosomal RNA (117 nucleotides) under Zongyangia hominis. The record is from RNAcentral. Lineage: Bacteria; Bacillati; Bacillota; Clostridia; Eubacteriales; Oscillospiraceae.